This 629-nucleotide ribosomal RNA is filed under the name uncultured bacterium. Its description in RNAcentral is "bacterial SSU rRNA". It matches the Rfam family "Bacterial small subunit ribosomal RNA", at positions 56 to 731 of the family's 1533-position model. The record is from RNAcentral.
UGCAAGUCGAUCGCUCUUUUCGGAGAGAGAGGCGCACGGGUGAGUAACACGUGGGAAUAUACCCUUGAGUACGGAAUAACUAUUGGAAACGAUAGCUAAUACCGUAUACGCCCUACGGGGGAAAGAUUUAUCGCUCAAGGAUUAGCCCGCGUCUGAUUAGCUAGUUGGUGAGGUAAUGGCUCACCAAGGCGACGAUCAGUAGCUGGUUUGAGAGAAUGAUCAGCCACACUGGGACUGAGACACGGCCCAGACUCCUACGGGAGGCAGCAGUGGGGAAUAUUGGACAAUGGGCGCAAGCCUGAUCCAGCCAUGCCGCGUGAGUGAAGAAGGCCUUCGGGUUGUAAAGCUCUUUCAGACGUGAAGAUGAUGACGGUAACGUCAGAAGAAGCCCCGGCUAACUUCGUGCCAGCAGCCGCGGUAAUACGAAGGGGGCAAGCGUUGUUCGGAAUUACUGGGCGUAAAGCGCGCGUAGGCGGCGUCGUCAGUCAGAGGUGAAAUCCCAGGGCUCAACCUUGGAAUUGCCUUUGAUACUGCGAUGCUUGAGUUCGAGAGAGGGUGGCGGAAUACCCAGUGUAGAGGUGAAAUUCGUAGAUAUUGGGUAGAACACCAGUGGCGAAGGCGGCCACCUG